CUACGUGAGCUAGCACAGCCAGUAUCAAUAUCUGCUUGCUAAGUAUGUGUGCAACAGAAGGCAAUCUGAACAUAAGAACAAAUUAAGACAGCCUAGAAAUUGCACAGAUGAAGAAUCUACAAACAAGGACAUUAAAGAAUAUUAAAGCAGCACAGAGAAGUUAUUUCCAAGAAUUCAAGAAGCUUCAAAAAACAAAAGUUACACCAACACUUGUGAAGCUGGCCUAAUACACAGCAUGUGCACAAACCAAGACUUAUGUGGCUGAUGGCACCUUUUCAUCCAGAGCUUUGUGGUGUUCAAAUAAGGACUUCAGUGCUUUCAGCACUUCCACUUCGCUGGACACGCCUGCUGGAGACUGCGCUUGUCUCUUCACCACGGUCAUCCUAAGAGACCGCUCAUGCCUGGAGACAAGGCAUUCCAAAUGCUCUAACAGCAGCUGAAAUAAAAGGCCAAAAUAAAGACUUGUUAAACAGCA
Long non-coding RNA from Homo sapiens (human), 475 nucleotides. RefSeq lists it as uncharacterized. The record is from RefSeq and is marked validated. Lineage: Eukaryota; Metazoa; Chordata; Mammalia; Primates; Hominidae. The transcript is spliced from 2 exons.